Molecule: long non-coding RNA, 462 nt
Organism: Helianthus annuus (common sunflower)
Lineage: Eukaryota; Viridiplantae; Streptophyta; Magnoliopsida; Asterales; Asteraceae
Exons: 3
Source: RefSeq, a predicted model, not a curated record
CGAUCAAGAGCAGGGGGCCAAGAACAAACCCUAACUUUCAGAAAAUCCCAAGGUUACGAAGGAAUUAAGGGCUUAAAUUGAUGCAUGAGCUCCAAUUUUUAACCAUCUAAGCUUGUUCAACACAAGGCGUUAAAGAAGAAAGUUCGAGUCAAGUGAAGCAACAAGGGAAUCAAGACCGAGGUAAAUAUCAUGUCUAGCUAUCAAGCUUUGCCCGGUUCGAACACGCCUCAAGCCCGUCAAGCGUUCCGCAUUUUGUAAAAGUCAAUGUUUAAUACUUUGUCACUUAUGUUUACGUCUAGUAGUUAAACCUAGUUUCUAUUUUGUUUGUCUUUUGGAAAACUUGUCGUAAGUACGUACAUAAACUUAAUGGUUUCGUAAGUAAAAACAUGGUAUGUUUUGACGUGUAUGUUGCGUCUUUUGAUUGGUUGCGUAUUUUUGAAUAAUAUUUGAUUAUGAAAAACA